UGCCAGCAGCCGCGGUAAUACGGAGGGUGCAAGCGUUGUCCGGAAUCAUUGGGUUUAAAGGGUGCGUAGGCGGGCUAAUAAGUCAGAGGUGAAAUCCAAUCGCUUAACGAUUGAACUGCCUUUGAUACUGUUAGUCUUGAAUUAAGUAAAGGUAGGCGGAAUUUAUUGUGUAGCGGUGAAAUGCAUAGAUACGAUAAAGAACUCCGAUAGCGAAGGCAGCUUACUGGACUUAUAUUGACGCUGAGGCACGAAAGCGUGGGUAGCGAACGGGAUUAGAUA
Molecule: ribosomal RNA, 279 nt
Filed under: uncultured bacterium
Lineage: Bacteria
Description: partial 16S ribosomal RNA
Rfam family: Bacterial small subunit ribosomal RNA
Source: RNAcentral